Molecule: ribosomal RNA, 253 nt
Filed under: uncultured bacterium
Lineage: Bacteria
Description: partial 16S ribosomal RNA
Rfam family: Bacterial small subunit ribosomal RNA
Source: RNAcentral
UACGAGUGCCUCAAGCGUUAUCCGGAAUUAUUGGGCGUAAAGGUUGUGUAGGUGGUUAUAUUAGUCUUCUGUUAAAUUCUUCGGCUUAACCGGGGGCAUGCAGGGGAAACGGUAUAACUAGAGGAUGCGAGGGGUCUGCGGAACUCAUAGUGUAGCGGUGAAAUGCGUUGAGAUCGGGAAGAACAUCAGUGGCGAAGGCGGCCUGCUGGGCUGUUGCUGACGCUGAGGCGCGACAGCGUGGGGAGCAAACAGG